Non-coding RNA from Pelobates cultripes (western spadefoot toad), 298 nucleotides. Lineage: Eukaryota; Metazoa; Chordata; Amphibia; Anura; Pelobatidae. The record is from the annotation of a GenBank genome assembly.
CUUCUCACCAAACAAAUACUAUCAACACAGUAACAAAUGUGAUAUAUAUAUUACCAAAGGACUUAAGCAACAUUAUCUCUAAAAUUUGUUCUUACACUGGACAACUAGUACACAACUCUACUGACCUUGCCAAAGAAUUUCAAAAAUUAUAUUCUCAUCUGCAUAACAUACCCUCAAACAGUGACCCUGACUGGUCACCCAACAGUCACCUUAGACAGACCUAAAGAACUGAACAAACUUCUGCUAGCUAUUAAACAAUCACCACUGAACAAAAUCACUGGUCCUGACUAUAACGAUG